This 429-nucleotide ribosomal RNA is filed under the name Bacteroidota bacterium. RNAcentral's name for it is "Bacteroidetes bacterium partial 16S ribosomal RNA". It matches the Rfam family "Bacterial small subunit ribosomal RNA", at positions 355 to 776 of the family's 1533-position model. The record is from RNAcentral. Lineage: Bacteria; Pseudomonadati; Bacteroidota.
UAGGGAAUCUUCCGCAAUGGACGCAAGUCUGACGGAGCAACGCCGCGUGAGUGAAGAAGGAUUUCGGUUCGUAAAACUCUGUUGUUAGAGAAGAACAGCGCAUAGAGUAACUGUUAUGCGUGUGACGGUAUCUAACCAGAAAGCCACGGCUAACUACGUGCCAGCAGCCGCGGUAAUACGUAGGUGGCAAGCGUUGUCCGGAUUUAUUGGGCGUAAAGCGAGCGCAGGCGGUCAAUUAAGUCUGAUGUGAAAGCCCCCGGCUCAACCGGGGAGGGUCAUUGGAAACUGGUUGACUUGAGGGCAGAAGAGGAGGGUGGAAUUCCAUGUGUAGCGGUGAAAUGCGUAGAUAUAUGGAGGAACACCAGUGGCGAAGGCGACUCUCUGGUCUGUAACUGACGCUGAGGUUCGAAAGCGUGGGUAGCAAACAGG